GGUGACGAUAGCAGAGAGGUCCCACCUGUUCUCAUACCGAACACAGAAGUUAAGCUCUCUUACGCCGACAGUACUUUGGGUUUUUCCCCACGGAAGGUUAGGUAGUUGCC
RNAcentral lists this ribosomal RNA (110 nucleotides) under chicken gut metagenome. The record is from RNAcentral.